GAUGAAGAACGUAGCGAAAUGCGAUAAGUAAUGUGAAUUGCAGAAUUCAGUGAACCAUCGAAUCUUUGAACGCACAUUGCGCCCGCCAGUAUUCUGGCGGGCAUGCCUGUUCGAGCGUCAUUUCAACCCUCAAGCACAGCUUGGUGUUGGGACUCGCGUUAAUUCGCGUUCCCCAAAUUGAUUGGCGGUCACGUCGAGCUUCCAUAGCGUAGUAGUAAAACCCUCGUUACUGGUAAUCGUCGCGGCCACGCCGUUAAACCCCAACUUCUGAAUGUUGACCUCGGAUCAGGUAGGAAUACCCGCUGAACUUAAGCAUAUCAAUAAGCGGAGGA
RNAcentral lists this unclassified non-coding RNA (332 nucleotides) under soil metagenome. Its description in RNAcentral is "partial contains 5.8S ribosomal RNA, internal transcribed spacer 2, and large subunit ribosomal RNA". The stretch from base 1 to 120 matches the Rfam family "5.8S ribosomal RNA", at positions 35 to 154 of the family's 154-position model. The record is from RNAcentral.